Molecule: ribosomal RNA, 301 nt
Filed under: uncultured bacterium
Lineage: Bacteria
Description: partial 16S ribosomal RNA
Rfam family: Bacterial small subunit ribosomal RNA
Source: RNAcentral
CAGCAGCCGCGGUAAUGCGGAGGGUGCGAGCGUUAAUCGGAAUUACUGGGCGUAAAGCGUACGCAGGCGGUUUGUUAAGUCAGAUGUGAAAUCCCCGGGCUCAACCUGGGAAUGGCAAUGGAUACUGGCAAGCUAGAGUGUGUCAGAGGAUGGUGGAAUUCCCGGUGUAGCGGUGAAAUGCGUAGAGAUCGGGAGGAACAUCAGUGGCGAAGGCGGCCAUCUGGGACAACACUGACGCUGAGGCACGAAAGCGUGGGGAGCAAACAGGAUUAGAUACCCGUGUAGUCCCUGUCUCUUAUAC